Long non-coding RNA from Alexandromys fortis (reed vole), 1408 nucleotides. RefSeq lists it as uncharacterized. The transcript is spliced from 6 exons. Lineage: Eukaryota; Metazoa; Chordata; Mammalia; Rodentia; Cricetidae. The record is from RefSeq and is a predicted model, not a curated record.
AAGGAGACUGCUAGGAACGGGUGAACCCUGGGCACGGUUAUUGUGCUUGAAGAGACCUUCACCGCUCUGGGAAGCACAGAACAGGGGUAGACAGCACUUCACCCUGUGCUUGGCUCAGAUGGUUUGCUGUGCCUAACACGAUGUACCUCCCAGGGAGAGCUUAGAGCAUAUAUCAUUUAGGGAACAAAACCAGUGUUACAGCCUGUGCACGUUCGGGGAAGAUGCAGUUCUGUUUCUGAGGACUCUUCCGCUCCUUCUACCCCACUCCUGACACUAUGGAUGGGAGGAUACACAGAGUUUCAUUCGACCCUCUGCACACCAGAUCUUGUCACUAAUCCUCCAGUGACUGUCAGUCUGAGAUGGAACUCUGGCCCUCUGGCCCUUCCUAAGUGCUCCACCACUUAAGGUAAGUGCUCCACCACUGAGGUAAGUGUUCCACCACUAAAGUACGUACUCUAUCACUAAGGUAAAUGCUCCACCACUGAGGUAAGUGCUCCACCACUAAGCGACAGACCAACCUUUUCUGAGAACUUGUAGAGCACCUUGACAUUACUGUGACAUUUAUAUUGUAACUUACAAAAGUUUUGGUUCUUAUGCGGUGAAGAAGAACCCCAACAAUAUUUUAUUAUUGAUCUCAUUUCCUUUUUUUUUUUUUUUGUAAAAAUCCCUGCUGUGUCACUGGAUCAUCAGCAGAUUCCUCAAAUGUUGAAGGAAUUUGCUGCAAAUCAAGCCUCCUGCUUAGUCUGGAGAGAGAAGAAACAGUCUGAAACGAAAACCAGCUCCCAGAACCAGGGACAGCCUGGUCAGAAGUGUCAGCUACUACUGAGAUGCUAGAAGGGCCGACAUUUCCUGAAGAGAUAGACAAAGCCGUCAGGGUGUCCUGGGGACGAAGCUGACAUCACUUUUGGAUAGGAUCCCCUCUGUGGUGUCCCUGCUGCAGAGUACGUUUGCCUUAUGUGGAUUUCCGUUUACAGAAGCCUCUGUCGACAAGGAAGAGAGUCAUGGCUGUCCCUGGAGGCCGUACUUGGAUUGGACAACAUAGGACCCCUCAUGUACCAGCAAAAUACAAGCUAUGGCCAUGGUCAGACGUCACCAAUUUUGAGACCCAGCUCUCUGUUUUAAAGACGUGACAAUGGGAAAGAACUGUGUGUGUGUGUGUGUGUGUUGGAGGAGUAGCUCAGUUGAUAGGCUGCCUGCCUGACCCCUAUGAAAACCUGAAUUCCACCCUCGCCACCUAAUGACGCAGCUGUGACAGACAGACCUCUGAUCCUAGCACUUGGGAAGUGAAGUGGAGGCCGGGAGAACAUCAGGGCUGUCCUCUGCGUAGCCAGCUGAGGAGGUCUGGGCAAUAUGAGACCUUAUGCCCCCCCUCCCAGAGUCUCGAAGAAUCUCUGAUCUCUCUGUAAGA